AAAGUAGUUACUUUUGCAAUUC
Molecule: small nuclear RNA, 22 nt
Filed under: Arabidopsis thaliana (thale cress)
Lineage: Eukaryota; Viridiplantae; Streptophyta; Magnoliopsida; Brassicales; Brassicaceae
Description: snRNA_14833
Source: RNAcentral